This 754-nucleotide ribosomal RNA is filed under the name unidentified microorganism. RNAcentral describes it as "bacterial SSU rRNA". It matches the Rfam family "Bacterial small subunit ribosomal RNA", at positions 51 to 818 of the family's 1533-position model. The record is from RNAcentral.
ACACAUGCAAGUCGAACGAUGAUCCCUNGCUUGCUGGGGGGAUUAGUGGCGAACGGGUGAGUAACACGUGAGUAACCUGCCCUUGACUCUGGGAUAAGCCUGGGAAACUGGGUCUAAUACUGGAUAUGACUGACUAUCGCAUGGUGGUUGGUGGAAAGCUUUUGUGGUUUUGGAUGGACUCGCGGCCUAUCAGCUUGUUGGUGGGGUAAUGGCCUACCAAGGCGACGACGGGUAGCCGGCCUGAGAGGGUGGACGGCCACACUGGGACUGAGACACGGCCCAGACUCCUACGGGAGGCAGCAGUGGGGAAUAUUGCACAAUGGGCGCAAGCCUGAUGCAGCGACGCCGCGUGAGGGAUGAAGGCCUUCGGGUUGUAAACCUCUUUCAGUAGGGAAGAAGCGAAAGUGACGGUACCUGCAGAAGAAGCGCCGGCUAACUACGUGCCAGCAGCCGCGGUAAUACGUAGGGCGCAAGCGUUAUCCGGAAUUAUUGGGCGUAAAGAGCUCGUAGGCGGUUUGUCGCGUCUGCCGUGAAAGUCCGGGGCUUAACUCCGGAUCUGCGGUGGGUACGGGCAGACUUGAGUGAUGUAGGGGAGACUGGAAUUCCUGGUGUAGCGGUGAAAUGCGCAGAUAUCAGGAGGAACACCGAUGGCGAAGGCAGGUCUCUGGGCAUUAACUGACGCUGAGGAGCGAAAGCAUGGGGAGCGAACAGGAUUAGAUACCCUGGUAGUCCAUGCCGUAAACGUUGGGCACUA